This 1206-nucleotide long non-coding RNA is filed under the name Gouania willdenowi (blunt-snouted clingfish). Its description in RNAcentral is "lncRNA (ENSGWIG00000021484.1)". Lineage: Eukaryota; Metazoa; Chordata; Actinopteri; Blenniiformes; Gobiesocidae. The record is from RNAcentral.
CGUUAUUUAAAGUCACCAACUGACCUUCAGUUACUCUGCGAGCAGCGAGAGACGGAGAGAGACGUGCUGUGAGCUUUGAGCUGAGAAACCAGAACGUUUACCAGACCCACACAAAAGUCUCACUAGAGACUUCUACAGAACCAGGACCAGAACCAGGACCAGGACCAGAACCAGAACCAGAACCAGAACCAGGACCAAACAGAGACAGACUUCAGCCCAGAGAAGAAGUAAGGACCAGGAGGAGACCAUGGGUCCUCGCAUGCCAGACGGAUUUUUUUCUGGCAGGGAAGAACCUCUGGAUUGGGUCCUAGGCUGGGGAGAACCUGAAGAACCAGAAGAACCCGAAGAACCAGAAGAACCAGAAGAACCAGAAGACCCAGAAGAACCCGAAGAACCAGAAGAACCUGAAGAGGACCUUCCUGAGGGAACUGUGUAUUACAUUUAUGAGGUGACUCCUGGCUGGGGGACCCCUGAGGAUGAAGGUGAGUAUUCUCAGGAGUCACCACUUGAACUCAUUGUCUUCAGGGAGAGCUGUUACCAUAGUGAUUCUACAGCCAGGUACGUAGACAGUUUUGAGGAACCUUCAUCGUCCGACUCUGACUGUCAGUGUGAGCCUGAGAGGAAGAGGCUGAGACGGGACGACAGCUCUGACUCAUCUUAGAGUCAUCUGUUCUUUUCCUUUUCCUGCUCCUCUCCAUAUGAGCAGAGUUUCCUGUGUGUACCCGGUUUCCACAGCUGGUCCUUGCGUCUGGCGGGAUUAACUCAGCCUUUGGUUACAUUGACACCAACCAGGGCUGGCCAUUUGUGUGUCCAGUGCGUCUUGCACCUGGGCCUUUUUGUAAAUAGUUGUUUUUGGUAAGUUUUCCUUUGCGUCUUGCGAUGGCGGCUGAUGUCCCAGGCAGCGUCUGGUACCAGGACUUUUUUAGAUGGUAAGGAUUUUAUUUUGUUUCUUUAUGACAGGCAACAGCAGGAGUGGUUGUCCUGUUACUGUUGUAAAACAUGAAUAAUAUAUAAGGUUUACUUAGGUUAGAGUUUAGAAUUAGAGAAAACCUUUUUAAUCCCAGCAAGUGAGGACAGGAGGAGACAUCAGCAGAGGGCAGAGACCAAAGAAGACUUCUCCAUCAACCAAAACAAUGUAAGCAAAAACACUGAACACACAUUUAAUGUAAAAAUAAACUUUACUUUUUUUAAAAUGUCUGUAAAAUG